This 306-nucleotide unclassified non-coding RNA is filed under the name Hevea brasiliensis (rubber tree). Lineage: Eukaryota; Viridiplantae; Streptophyta; Magnoliopsida; Malpighiales; Euphorbiaceae. The record is from RNAcentral.
AAUACGAUUUUUUUAUGAAAAUAAUUUCAUAAAAUUGCAUUGAGUUGAACCGAAACCGUAUCGAAAUUUUAGUUUAAUUUCGAUUCUUAAGCAGAUCUCAAACCACAACUAAAAAUGGAAUCGUACACCACUAGUUGCUGGAAUUAAACAUUUUCAUUAGCAAUCACUUUCCUAGGAAAGCAACAUUCCAAGAAAGUAAGUGUUUGAUUCACCUUUUAGGUGCAGCUGAUUGCGGAUAGACACACAAAUAGAUAAACUAGAGUGUUUAACAAACUUAAAAACAUAGAGCUGAUAGCUGAUGGGUAA